UCUACAUCAAAUUGGUAUCAGAGCAAACUUGGGAAAACAGUUAGGCGUUCACUGCGUGGUUCAAAUCAGUUCUGUAGAAUCUAGUUAACACCUUCAUCAUCUUUGCAUGUGUUCCGGUGCUCAAAAUCAAUUUCGGCAUACUCCAGUUAACAUCCUCACCGUCUCUGCAUAUAUUCCCGGUCCACUGCAACUUCACAAACUCAACGUCCACUGCAAACUUCACAAACUCAACCACCCAAACCCAACCCGACCCUCGCCACUGCGAACAAUCACUACCUCAGAAAAUUUCGGCUGCCCAAUACUCAUUAAACCAUAAUAACCCUCCGCACGGCCGAAGACUGUCCACGCAACCGCCACCCAAAAUACUCGUUGCCCUCCAAUAACCCACCACCGUCCACCUCCGACCAACCCAAUUCCACAAAAUUGACAGUUAGCACCAGCAAUACAGUACGCACGACCCGCCGACUGUGCCUAGAUCGGUGACCCAGGCAAUUAACAUCCAUCGAGCUGCGUUGGUAGUGCAGUCUUCCAAAUCGCGCCCAGUUUUUUUUCCCUUCGUGCGUGUGCUGGCCUCUGUUUAUCAAUUUACAGUGGAUCAGGUUAGUGGGUAGGGUAUUAACAUUGGGCUAUGUUUUAGUUGGGUAAAGUGUUAAAGUUGGGCCAUGUGUUAUUAUGCAGUAUAUGUAUUGGGCCUCUACUAGAAUUUGGGCCGUGAAUUGUAACCGGUUUACUUACUUGAUUUUGUAAAAAAAAAAAAAAGACAAA
This 765-nucleotide long non-coding RNA is filed under the name Olea europaea subsp. europaea. Lineage: Eukaryota; Viridiplantae; Streptophyta; Magnoliopsida; Lamiales; Oleaceae. The record is from RNAcentral.